This 445-nucleotide ribosomal RNA is filed under the name Actinomyces graevenitzii. Its description in RNAcentral is "bacterial LSU rRNA". It matches the Rfam family "Bacterial large subunit ribosomal RNA", at positions 1417 to 1842 of the family's 2925-position model. The record is from RNAcentral. Lineage: Bacteria; Bacillati; Actinomycetota; Actinomycetes; Actinomycetales; Actinomycetaceae.
UGUGGUUUUGGUUUGGGGACAGGCUUUCUUGGUAGGCAAGCGUGUGGAGUGACGCACAGUGGAAGCCUUCGCGAGGUGAUGGUUUAUCCUCGUUUAACCGUGUAGCUUACUGCUUAGGUAAAUCCGGGUGGUUUUAUGUGAGGCGGGAUGAUGACCACUUUUUGGGUGGGAAGUAGGGGUGAUCCUGUGGUGCCGAGAAAAGCUUCGACGCGAGGUUGUUAGCCGCCCGUACCCUAAACCGACACAGGUGGUCGGGCAGAGUAUGCCUAGGCGCACGAGAUAAUCAUGGUUAAGGAACUCGGCAAAAUGCCCCCGUAACUUCGGGAGAAGGGGGGCCUGAUACUUGAUGAAACCAUUUUUGGCUUUCUAGGGUUGAGGGUCGCAGAGACCAGGGAGAAGCGACUGUUUACUAAAAACACAGGUGCGUGCGAAGCCGUAAGGCGAU